Molecule: ribosomal RNA, 253 nt
Filed under: uncultured bacterium
Lineage: Bacteria
Also listed under: 1 other name
Description: partial 16S ribosomal RNA
Rfam family: Bacterial small subunit ribosomal RNA
Source: RNAcentral
UACGUAGGGUGCGAGCGUUGUCCGGAAUUACUGGGCGUAAAGAGCUCGUAGGUGGUUUGUCGCGUUGUCCGUGAAAACUCACAACUCAAUUGUGGGCGUGCGGGCGAUACGGGCAGACUGGAGUACUGCAGGGGAGACUGGAAUUCCUGGUGUAGCGGUGGAAUGCGCAGAUAUCAGGAGGAACACCGGUGGCGAAGGCGGGUCUCUGGGCAGUAACUGACGCUGAGGAGCGAAAGCGUGGGGAGCGAACAGG